CCUACGGGUGGCUGCAGUGGGGAAUAUUGGACAAUGGGCGAAAGCCUGAUCCAGCCAUGCCGCGUGUGUGAAGAAGGCCUUCGGGUUGUAAAGCACUUUCAGUGGGGAAGAAAGCCUUGGGGCUAAUACCCUCGAGGAAGGACAUCACCCACAGAAGAAGCACCGGCUAACUCCGUGCCAGCAGCCGCGGUAAUACGGAGGGUGCGAGCGUUAAUCGGAAUUACUGGGCGUAAAGCGCGCGUAGGCGGUCUGAUAAGCCGGUUGUGAAAGCCCCGGGCUCAACCUGGGAACGGCAGCCGGAACUGUCAGGCUAGAGUGCAGGAGAGGAAGGUAGAAUUCCCGGUGUAGCGGUGAAAUGCGUAGAGAUCGGGAGGAAUACCAGUGGCGAAGGCGGCCUUCUGGACUGACACUGACGCUGAGGUGCGAAAGCGUGGGUAGCAAACAGGAUUAGAUACCCUGGUAGUC
RNAcentral lists this ribosomal RNA (465 nucleotides) under Vreelandella stevensii. RNAcentral describes it as "partial 16S ribosomal RNA". It matches the Rfam family "Bacterial small subunit ribosomal RNA", at positions 338 to 795 of the family's 1533-position model. Lineage: Bacteria; Pseudomonadati; Pseudomonadota; Gammaproteobacteria; Oceanospirillales; Halomonadaceae. The record is from RNAcentral.